UCCCUCGUCCACAAGAGCAGCGGAAGGAGGAGCAGAGCUGCGGUUUGGAAUAGGUCCUCGAUCGGGCACGAGCUGACGUAACCGGACUCAGCGACAGGACGGGACGGAGCGACGGCAGUGGAGCGGCAACUCGAGGGGCACUGCGCAGGCAGGAGACGAGGCAAAACCGUACAGCCGGCUCGAGAGUUCUCGCAGGCGCUCGGGAGGGGAGCCGGAUAUAUUCCUGGGGGGCUCCACAAGGCGUCGAGGGUUCGGAGAGGGGCAAGGAGUAAACGGGGGCCUCAGGGGAUUAGAGCGGCCUCAACCGGCAGCAGGUGGUACCGGCGGAGCCGGAGCCGAACUAAGGCCGGUUUAGCUCGGAGGAGAGGAGGAGGAUGGUGCAGGUGGCCCAGGGGGAGCAAGGUGAGUCGGCGGGGUGGGGGAACGGGAGAGCGGCCUCAGCGGACAAAGCGGUCUUGUGGUGGAGCCGACGGCGGGGACCGGAGGAGACCGCGGCGGAGAGGGCAGGUGGAGUGAGGAGGGGCCGCCGGCACAGAGGGGAUUUGCCUCCGCGGAGCCAGGGAGCGUGGGCGGCCACCGGAGCCGAGCCGGCCUCUACCGGACUCGAUCGGCCGGGGAACCGGUAAAGGGAGGGGACGGAGACGAGACAGAGUGCCCUCUUGUCCGCUCGCUCUCCUUCCUCUGCUGGCUCGGACCGGGGAGGGGGACGCCGAUCUGGGGUGGAUUUUGCAUUAGGCGGGCUUCCGCGAUAGGUAAAAGUCGGCGGUCCCUGGACAAACACUCCUAAAAAUAGUGUCUAAUCAGGGAUUAGAAGAUGUGGAGUAUUGAAGCGCUGGCAUUGAGGCUAACUCGGGGAGGCUUUCUCUUGGCAGGCCGCAAAGCAAGGCGCCGAAGUGGCGUGAAAAAGGGCCCCAGAGGCAGUAGGCUCCUUUAGUUAUAGUUUGCCUCAGGUUUACGGUACUUUGAGGUGCUACUAAAAAAUACCCGGUCUUCCUUCCGUUACCCGGAACCAACGUGGACCCCCCACCCGCAAGGGACCACCCAACACGGGUGGAGUCCACGGGGAGCCUGGCGGAGAAACGUGAUAUUUAUGUUGUUAUAAAGUCUUUGGGAUCUUGUUCGCAGCUUUAUAAGUAGGUCGGCGGCGUCUCGGCUCUUGGUGGUCUAGGUUGGAUCUGUGGUAGUGCCUCCCCAAGUGGUUAAGGUAACCACGGAGAAGCUACUACGCACUCAUCAUGAAACAUCUGGAAGCCCAGGCAUCAAUCAUCGAUCUACCGAAAGAGAGAGAGAGCGACUUAAGAGUUAUGUUACCAGAGAACCUCUAGGUAUACUACAUUGAGAAAACGCCACACAAACAAACCUAGACUACUUGAAGCUCAAAUACUAGUCAGUAUAGAAAAAUAUAGGUACUUUCAAUAAACUCAAAGAAACUAGAGAAUAUACGUACUAGAGAAUAUCGGAGCAUAAAGAAGAGGCUAUAAACCCAGAACAAACCGGUUGAACUAGAUAAAUAGACAUUGCAGG
Molecule: ribosomal RNA, 1524 nt
Filed under: Triticum aestivum (bread wheat)
Lineage: Eukaryota; Viridiplantae; Streptophyta; Magnoliopsida; Poales; Poaceae
Description: partial small subunit ribosomal RNA
Source: RNAcentral